CUUGCGCAAUGGGCGAAAGCUUGACGCAGCGACGCCGCGUGGGGGAUGGACGGGUUUCCGACUUGUAAACCCCUGUUAGCCCGGGACGAACUUCUCCUUUNGAGGAGAUUGACGGUACCGGGUGAGGAAGCACCGGCUAACUCUGUGCCAGCAGCCGCGGUAAUACAGAGGGUGCGAGCGUUGUCCGGAAUCACUGGGCGUAAAGGGCGCGUAGGUGGCGGGCCAAGUCAGUGGUGAAAGCUCGAUGCUCAACAUCGAGUCGGCCACUGAGACUGGCUGGCUGGAGCACUGUAGGGGCAGAUGGAAUUCCGGGUGUAGCGGUGGAAUGCGUAGAGAUCCGGAAGAACACCGGUGGCGAAGGCGGCAUCCUGGACCAUUACUGACGCUGAGGAGCGAAAGCCAGGGGAGCAAACAGGAUUAGAUACCCUGGUAGUCCUAGCCGUAAACGAUGGGCGCUAGGUGUGGGCGGAUAUCGACCCCUCCUGCCGAAGCUAACGCAU
Molecule: ribosomal RNA, 500 nt
Filed under: uncultured bacterium
Lineage: Bacteria
Description: bacterial SSU rRNA
Rfam family: Bacterial small subunit ribosomal RNA
Source: RNAcentral